GCCAGACUCCUACGGGAGGCAGCAGUGGGGAAUAUUGCACAAUGGGGGAAACCCUGAUGCAGCGACGCCGCGUGAGCGAUGAAGUAUUUCGGUAUGUAAAGCUCUAUCAGCAGGGAAGAAAAUGACGGUACCUGAAGAAGAAGCCCCGGCUAACUACGUGCCAGCAGCCGCGGUAAUACGUAGGGGGCAAGCGUUAUCCGGAUUUACUGGGUGUAAAGGGGGCGCAGACGGCGAUGCAAGCCAGGAGUGAAAGCCCGGGGCCCAACCCCGGGACUGCUCUGGAAACUGCGGCGCUGGAGUACGGGAGGGGCAGGCGGAAUUCCUGGUGUAGCGGUGAAAUGCGUAGAUAUCAGGAGGAACACCGGCGGCGAAGGCGGCCUGCUGGACCGUGACUGACGUUGAGGCUCGAGAGCGUGGGGAGCAAACAGGAUUAGAUACCCGAGUAC
RNAcentral lists this ribosomal RNA (446 nucleotides) under uncultured bacterium. RNAcentral describes it as "partial 16S ribosomal RNA". It matches the Rfam family "Bacterial small subunit ribosomal RNA", at positions 330 to 793 of the family's 1533-position model. The record is from RNAcentral.